Molecule: ribosomal RNA, 252 nt
Filed under: uncultured bacterium
Lineage: Bacteria
Description: partial 16S ribosomal RNA
Rfam family: Bacterial small subunit ribosomal RNA
Source: RNAcentral
UACAUAGGUGUCAAGCGUUAUCCGGAUUUAUUGGGCGUAAAGAGUGCGUAGAUGGUGUAAUAAGUUUGAGGUUAAAGUCUAAGGCUUAACUUUAGUUUGCCUUGAAAACUGUUUCACUAGAGUAUGGCAGAGGUUAAUGGAAUUUCAUGUGUAGCGGUGGAAUGCGUAGAUAUAUGAAGGAACACCAGUGGCGAAGGCGAUUAACUAUACCAUUACUGACAUUCAUGCACGAAAGCAUGGGGAGCAAAUAGG